GUGAAUGUGGGUCAUGUGACUCUCUCCUGGUACAAAGGAAACAGUUUAUUGUCCAGCAUCAGUGUGUCUGAUCUCAGCAUCAGUCUCUCUCUACCUCUGGAGGUGGAAUAUCAGGAUAAAAACAGCUACAGCUGUGUGCUCAACAAUCCCAUCAGCAACCAGACUCAACAUCUGGACAUCACUCAGCUCUGUCACACAUCUGCAGACUCUGUCCACUGCUGUGGUUCUACUGAAGCUGUGAUCCGAUUGGUCCUCUCUGCUCUGGUGGGCGUGGCUACUGUCAUUCUUCUGGUUUAUGACAUCAGAUCCAGAAGAGAUAAUCAAAAUCAAGCACAGAUUCACACAUCAGGUGCAUAAUUGAUUAAUAGACAUUUAAAAGAUGUUUAGAGAUGUUAAUGAUCUAGAAUGUGUGUAAAACUGACAUCUUAAAGAAAUCAGAUUAGAGUCAGCUGAUGCAAGCUUGACUCAUGUGACCUGCCUUUUUUUUUUCAGUUUUCAAAGCUUUAUAUUCAUGUGCUGAUCUUGAUGUAAUCUUUCAUAUUUUAUUCAGGGGUUUAAGAGCUCUUAAAAAUGUACCUGUCUUGUCCAUUUGUCCUCUGUAUUUGCUCUAUCAAUAAAGUUUUCUCACUCUGUGCUUCAA
Molecule: long non-coding RNA, 640 nt
Organism: Carassius carassius (crucian carp)
Lineage: Eukaryota; Metazoa; Chordata; Actinopteri; Cypriniformes; Cyprinidae
Exons: 2
Source: RefSeq, a predicted model, not a curated record